AUAAUUUAUGGUAUUAUUUGAAUUCAUCAGUUGCAAAUUAUGUAAUAUAUAAAUAAUGGAAUAAGAGUUUAUUAAUGAAGUACUAUAUUUAUACAUACAUAAAACAUUGUGUAGUAUUUUAGGAAUUUUUUUCCCUUUUUUUUUUUUUUUUUUUGGGAAGUGGGCAAAUAAGAUUUUUUUCCCAAAUUUUUAUCUUCCUGAUUUCUUCAAUUUCAUAUGGGAUAUUUGAUAACAUAGUAAAUUAGAUAUGAUUAUCGAAUAUGAAUUUAAAAAUCAAAUAUAUGUUGAAUUAUCUGAUCGGAUCGAACAUGGACAGAUUCGAUACAUAUCCGAUCCAUUUAUAAUCAUAAUCAUUAGUGCUAAAGCACCAGUUUAUGUAACAUUAAGUUAUAAGUUCAAUGAAAUGUAAAAUUUAAUGAUUUAUUUAAUCAUACCUAUCUGUAAACAUAAAAAAAAAUAAGUACAUAAAAUAAAAUGGAUUGUGUCGAUUUAAAUCAUUAGCCCAAUUAAAUCUUAAGUCUACUAAAUUUCAUAAAAAUCCAAAAGUCCAUACCACAUUUUAAAUAAAUAAACAAACAAAUAAAUACAACUAUAAUUACUCAAUUAUCUCUUUUAAUUAAAUAUAAUUGAGUAAUUACCAAAAUUAGCCCGAAUCCUUCCCUAUAAAUAAGAUCAAUGAUCCAUAAGACAGAAGGAUAGAAAGCAAGUAAGAAAAAAAAGUAGAGAACGUCACGAAGUGUUGAACAAAUUUUAAGACCAGAAGAAUGGAAGAAUUCCUCUCAAAUCCAAAUCCGGUGAACCUCCAGAAGAUUAAAAUCUUUUUCGAAUCAAAUAGGUUCACGUCAAGUCUAAGAAGAUCAAAGUCUUCUUCAAAUCAAAUCAAAUUCAAGUCCAAAUCUAAGCCCCGAAGUUCAAGUUCCGAUCAAGUCAAGUCUCGACAAACCAAAUUUUCAACAAAUUCUUGAAGACCAGGAUUCAAGCCACGUGGCCCCUGGUCUUCAAAUAUUCAGAUCAUUAAUCAGAAGAUUUUGCAAUUUUUCAAUUACAAGAAGGUCAACAUCACUUGUAUUUAUCAAAAUACAAUUUGUAACGAUUUCUAUAUUUUAAUACACGAGAUUUCGUUGUACAAAUUUCUUGGCACGCCCGGUGGGACCUUCUUGUCUUCUAAUCUUUUGAUCUCAAAAUUUCAAAUUUCAACUACUAUAUCAGCAAUAGUAGGCGAAAAAGCGAAACAAACUAUGACUCAUCUUGAAGAGACACUUGCCGAACUCUUCCAUGCGACCAGGGCCCAAACAAAAACUGGGAAAACUUAACUAGUCACACCACUAAAGAAGUUCUCCAACAAAGGCAAAGUGAGAAUUGCCUUCAAAAAGUCAAACUCUCAUAGUCUCAUUCGAUAGAAAAAACCAUGAGUUCAGCGAAAAGUUCUCAUUUGGGCUCCAUUUCCAGUGGUAGAUCCUUGUCUGGAUCCCCUCAUGCCACUUCUCAGCAAAAGUGGGAAGAUAAUGUCUCAUCUGAAGAAUCACUUGAGCCAGUAAUGGUCACAGAAGCGGCAUCGAACUCAAAUGACCGAAUUCAACAAAUGACUUUAGCCAUUGAAAAAUUAACAAAGUCAUUGGAAGAAAAAGAUGCACAGAUUGCUGCACUCACACAUAGGCUAGAGUUGCAAAAUUCAUUGACUAAAGAAGAUCAAGAAAAUUCAGGAUCUUCCAAGGCCAAAGAAUUAGAAGUCCAAGAGCGCCAACAAAAGCAAGAUAUGCACGAUCGGACAAUUAUUCAAAACGUGUUGCGUGACACCACUCAACUCACCAUUGGCUCUCUGUCCAUCCAACAACUUCAACAUAUGAUUGCAGACACCAUUCGUGCCCAGUAUGGUGGUUCAUUACAAUCUUCACUGGUGUAUACCAAGCCCUACAGUCGUCGAAUCGACGAAAUAAAGAUGCCACUCACUUAUCAACCUCCAAAAUUUCAGUGUUUUGAUGGAAAAGCAAUCCAAAACAACAUGUUGCCCAUUUUAUUGAGACUUGUAACAAUAUAGGUACUUACAAUGACACUUGGUGAAGCAGUUCGUAUGCUCCUUCAAAGGUUCCGCAUUUGAAUGGUACACGGACUUACCGGCUGGGUCAAUUGACAAUUUGGAUCAGCUUGAGCGAAAGUUCCUAACACGCUUCUACAACACCCAACGAACUGUCAGCCUUCCAAAACUUGCUCGAACAAAACAAAGCAAGGAAAAACCUGUUGUGGAGUACAUUGAACGCUGGAGGAACCUCGUGCUUAAUUGCAAAGAGCGAAUAAGCGAAGCAUCUUCCAUCGACAUGUGUGUACAAGGCAUGCAUUGGGGAUUACUCUAUAAUCUCCAAGUAAACAUGCCUCACUCAUUCGAAGAAUUAGCGACACGUGCUCAUGACUUGGAGCUCCAAAUUGCAAGGCAUGGAAGUUACUUACCAAGUGAUCAACGUGACAAGAAAGAUCCUAAGAAGGAGAUAAGGAAAGAUGCUAAGGCAAGUAAGUCCAAAGAAGUUAUGGCGAUUUCUACUACUCCUGCAAAGAUAGCCUUCCAAGGAUCAAGCUCAAACCCAAAACCAAAGCCAGAAUUCAGACCUGACAGAGGACAAGUCCAAAGUAGAGGUCAUGUGACUCUAAAAGAACUUGAAGGAAAGGAGUACCCAUUCUCAGAUUCUGAAGUUUCUGGAAUUCUGGAUCAGCUCCUUGAACAGAAGAUAAUCGAACUUCCAGUACCAAAAAGACCUAAGGAAGCUGGUAAGAUCGAUCAUCCUAAAUACUAUAAAUUUCAGAGAAUCAUUAGCCACCCAGUGGAAAAAUGCUUCUUCUUGAAAGAUCUCAUUGUUUGUCUGGACAAAGAAAAUAUGUUCAAACUUGAAAUCAGAGAGAAUCCAACAGUCGUCUGCUCGAUGGUUUCGUUUGGAUCAUUUGAUCUAAUUUCCAUUGCAGAGAAGAAACAAACGUUUUUUUGGUGUAUGCUAUGCCUAUAAGUCCUCAGUUAAGAGG
This 3009-nucleotide small RNA is filed under the name Olea europaea subsp. europaea. Lineage: Eukaryota; Viridiplantae; Streptophyta; Magnoliopsida; Lamiales; Oleaceae. The record is from RNAcentral.